Molecule: ribosomal RNA, 253 nt
Filed under: uncultured bacterium
Lineage: Bacteria
Description: partial 16S ribosomal RNA
Rfam family: Bacterial small subunit ribosomal RNA
Source: RNAcentral
UACGUAGGUGGCGAGCGUUGUCCGGAUUUAUUGGGCGUAAAGCGCGCGCAGGCGGUGCGGUAAGUCUGUCGUGAAAUCUCCCGGCUCAACUGGGAGGGUGCGGUGGAGACUGCCGGACUGGAGGCACUCAGAGGCCGGUGGAAUUCCCGGUGUAGUGGUGAAAUGCGUAGAGAUCGGGAGGAACACCAGUGGCGAAGGCGGCCGGCUGGGGGCGCCCUGACGCUGAGGCGCGAGAGCGUGGGGAGCGAGCCGG